Molecule: ribosomal RNA, 663 nt
Filed under: Mrakia blollopis
Lineage: Eukaryota; Fungi; Basidiomycota; Tremellomycetes; Cystofilobasidiales; Mrakiaceae
Description: eukaryotic LSU rRNA
Rfam family: 5.8S ribosomal RNA (bases 215-368)
Source: RNAcentral
GAAGUAAAAGUCGUAACAAGGUUUCCGUAGGUGAACCUGCGGAAGGAUCACUAGUGAUUAAAUCGAGAGCGUCUUCAUUGACCUCUCACCCUUCACAUCCACAUACACCUGUGCACCGUUUGGCUCUUAUAAAAGACGCAAGUCUGCAAUGAGAGUCAUCAAUUUUAUACAUACCCCAGUCUUAUGAAUGUAACAGUUUUAAUAAACAUAAUAAAACUUUUAACAACGGAUCUCUUGGUUCUCGCAUCGAUGAAGAACGCAGCGAAAUGCGAUAAGUAAUGUGAAUUGCAGAAUUCAGUGAAUCAUCGAAUCUUUGAACGCACCUUGCGCUCCUUGGUAUUCCGAGGAGCAUGCCUGUUUGAGUGUCAUGAAACUCUCAACCUUCAACUUUUUUAUUAAGGCUGAAGGCUUGGACUUGGGCGCUGCUGGUUUUUACUAACCGGCUCGCCUGAAAUGAAUUAGCAGAUCCUUUUUGUAAUCGGUUCCACUCGACGUGAUAAGUAUUUCGCCGAGGACAUACGCAAGUAUGGCCGAGAUAAAGGAAGUCUUUAGAUCCGCUUCUAAUUGCGUUAGAUAGAGCUUGCUCUACUAAACCCCAUUUUAUGAUCUGGCCUCAAAUCAGGUAGGACUACCCGCUGAACUUAAGCAUAUCAAUAAGCGGAG